This 29-nucleotide small RNA is filed under the name Bombyx mori (domestic silkworm). Its description in RNAcentral is "ovarian small RNA-26627". The record is from RNAcentral. Lineage: Eukaryota; Metazoa; Arthropoda; Insecta; Lepidoptera; Bombycidae.
UCCACACCAUUUCAUAUGCCUUUUCGAUU